AGUGGCAUCAGCGAUGGCGGCUGCGUCGGGGUCGGUUCUGCAGCGCUGUAUCGUGUCGCCGGCAGGGAGGCAUAGCGCCUCUCUGAUCUUCCUGCAUGGCUCAGGUGAUUCUGGACAAGGAUUAAGAAUGUGGAUCAAGCAGGUUUUAAAUCAAGAUUUAACAUUCCAACACAUAAAAAUUAUUUAUCCAACAGCUCCUCCCAGUUACACUGUUGGACCAAGUUUUGCCAGAUCAUAUACUCCUAUGAAAGGAGGAAUCUCCAAUGUAUGGUUUGACAGAUUUAAAAUAACCAAUGACUGCCCAGAACACCUUGAAUCAAUUGAUGUCAUGUGUCAAGUGCUUACUGAUUUGAUUGAUGAAGAAGUAAAAAGUGGCAUCAAGAAGAACAGGAUAUUAAUAGGAGGAUUCUCUAUGGGAGGAUGCAUGGCAAUACAUUUAGCAUAUAGAAAUCAUCAAGAUGUGGCAGGAGUAUUUGCUCUUUCUAGUUUUCUGAAUAAAGCAUCUGCUGUUUACCAGGCUCUUCAGAAGAGUAAUGGUGUACUUCCUGAAUUAUUUCAGUGUCAUGGUACUGCAGAUGAGUUAGUUCUUCAUUCUUGGGCAGAAGAGACAAACUCAAUGUUAAAAUCUCUAGGAGUGACCACGAAGUUUCAUAGUUUUCCAAAUGUUUACCAUGAGCUAAGCAAAACUGAGUUAGACAUAUUGAAGUUAUGGAUUCUUACAAAGCUGCCAGGAGAAAUGGAAAAACAAAAAUGAAUGAAUCAAGAGUGAUUUGUUAAUGUCAUUAGCUAUUGUUAGUGUUAGUGUAUUUUUUGUGUGGCCCAAGACAAUCUUCUUCCAGUGUGGCCCAGGGAAGCCAAAAAAUUGGACACACUUGAUGUAAACAUUUCAAGAAAAUUCAGACUAUAUGAUCACUCAAGACAGCCGAUUCACCAGCCUUCUGAAGGGAAGACUAAGCAUAUUCCUAUAUUGAAGAAGGAAAGAUAUCCAUGAUGGUGAUGCCACUAAAUAGAAGCAUCUUGGAUCUUACUAUUUGGAGUAGAACCACACAAGGAGAAGCCAUCCAACCUACAUAAGACUAUGACUGGCUUCUGACAAAAUCUAAACUGCACACUGUGGACUCGAGUCGAUAAACAACAGAGAGACUAAGACUGCAUGAAGUUAGGAGAUGGACCAUCAUGAAGGAAUAUCCUCUGUGUGUCGGGGGAUGUGGGGAGUUAGCCAUAUCUUUGGUUCAUGUUAGGUUUAAUGGUUAACAAAUUAAAAUGCUAAAGAAUGUUAUGAGUGAACCUCUUUUCCCUUUUGUUUUCUGAUUUUCUGCAAAACUUCUGUUCACAUAGCAAUCCUGGUUUUGUGCCCCAUCUUCUCCUUGCCCCAUGAAAGAGAAUGGAGUUAUCUGAUUGGCAGAUGCCAUCCGUGGUCCGUAUUUCUCAACUGAGUAGAAACUGACUCACUAAAAGGCAGCAAGCCCCAGAUCAAUAAGAGGCAGAAAUCUUAUUCUCUAGUGAUACUGCAGGAUCCUCUAAUGAGAUCCUGUAGGCAAGCUGGCCCAAGGUCUAGACUUAGACUUCAUUAACAUAUCUAAAGUCAUGUUAUCCAAUCGGCUUUAUUAGUACUAAAGCUGACAUUUCUAUCUUUAUCUAGGUCUGAUUUCUCAAAUGUAUCUGAACAUGAGAGGAGAGGAAAAAAGAUAUUAUUUACUGAUUCCUUCUUAUGCAUCCUGCAUUCUCACCCUAACCUGGAGUGGCCGACACCAGAACUCUCUCCCUUUAUGACAAGCAAAUGCCCCGUUUACAAGUAGACAACCUUAAUUUACAUUGUUUUUCUCUUGGAGACAGGGUCUCACCCUGUUGCCCAGGCUCAAGUGCAGUGGCACAAUUAUGGCUCACUGCAGCCUUGAUCUCCAGUGUUCAAGUGAUCCUCCCACCUCAGCCUCCUGAGUAGCUGGGACUACAGCACAUGCCACCAUGCCCAGCUAAUUGUUGUAUUUUUUGUAGGGAUGGAGUUUCACCAUAUUGCCCAGGCUGGUCUCAAAUUCCUGGGCUCAAAUGAUCCUUCUGCACUGGCCUCCCAAAAUGCUGAGAUUUCAGGCCUGAGCCACUGUGCCCGGCCUAACUUACACUUUCUAUAAAAUAAAGAAACAUGUAAUGGGAAGGCCGGAACCUUAAAUUGAAAAACACCUAAGUUAAACUGCUGGCCCAUUAUGAUGUGACUGUGAGCACAUACACCUUCUUCCCUGUAUCUGUUUUCUCAUUUGAAAAGUGAGGAUAAUAUCUCUCUGGCAAGACUAUUUUGAGUAUUAAAAUAGACAUGUAAUUAUGUGCCUAAUAUCACAUCUGGUGCAGUAGAUAUUAAGCAAAAGAUUAUUCUUUGUUAGCAAUUAUAACUACUUCUUAAGCAAAAUCAAAUUUUCAUGAUAAUGUGUUGCAUUUUCUAGUACAUUAUAGUCAAUAAAUGUUCAUUCCUUUUACUCCAGACUUACACUCUAACGAAUGAGUAAUAGAAUCCAAAGUAAAGAAAUUUUGUUUUGUUUGUUAAAUUAAAAAGUGCAAUGCAAAAAUCUUAUAAAGAAACAUCUGUCAAGUGAAAUUCAUAAGUUUCUUUACUUGAGAAAGUUCUAGUUUGUGCUUCAUUAUUUAUGGUACAGGUUUAAGAUCAUGUUGGGUGGCCCAGCUGUUUCUCCUGUUCAUUAGGAACGCUGGGCACUGCAUACUUCUUAAAUCCAAAAGCAAUAGCUCUUUCCCUUAUGAUCCAGCUCAAGAUGUAGUUAGAGUUAGCUGGACCAAAGGCUGAGUAGGACUAUUAACCAGAACUAGGCUCUGCUUCUCCAGCUUUGCAUGCUUUCUGUGGUUUAUAAUGUGAUUGGUAACCAGGAAAGCUCAAUAUGACUAUGUGGGUUAAAAUGUAUGCAAAAUAAUAAACAACAGCUUCAGCUUAGGAGAGGCACCAUGUUUAUUCAAGAAUAUGACAUGAUAGCAGUUGGCUUCUGGCAUAUGAGUUCUUUCUUAAGGCAAACAUCAAAUGACCCAUGUUAGACUUUUUUUUUAUUAAAGCCUCAUGCACAUGGUGCUUAGUUGAUUUUUAGAAGAAAUCAAUGAGAAAUGUAGGUGAGUACAGGGGAAAAGGGUAGAGAGGGUUAAAAAAAACCUAUGAAAACAUGAAAUCAACUUUAGGGAUUUUUUUAAUCCUUGAAAAAGUAAUAUUACUGAAUCAAAUGAUAGUCUCUCUAUUAAGAAAACACUAUACCACUUCUCAAAGUAUUUCUUAAUAUGCAUCUAAAGUUUCAUUGUUAAAGAGUCAAAUUUUCCAAAUCAGAGAAAAGUAUUACUUCAUGGUUCCCAAGUUUCCAAUCACUUAACAUAUGAAACAUUGAAGUUUUAAGAGUCAAAUGCUCCAAGUGAAAAGCAUCUGUUUGAUGUCGACGAGGUCCUGACAAAUUCAGUGUUAAAAGACUCUUUGUGCUGCUCUUUGAAAAUAUAUCACUUUAUAAUAAAUCUCUGGGCUCUGACACUCUUGGUGAUGAGGUUUGCUUUACAGACUUAUGCAAGAGGAUGUUUGCCACACCUGGCUCUUUGUGAGAUGAGAGUGGCAGAUUUUAAAAUAGAAAUUAGCAUAGAGCUUCAGGUUUAGAUGCUGACCUAAGUGCCUUUAUUUUCUUUAAAUUUGAGACAUAUAUUAUCAGAAGGGUGAAGGUUCUCUCCUCUCCUAUCUGAUUUUUGAUUUCUCCUUUAUUUCCAGAAAAGAAGUUAUCAAAUUAUAAAGCAUGCCAGGAAUUAAAGCUGUUGAAAAUUUAAUUAUGAAAGUUGUCAAGACUGUGUCAUUAUGGCACUAAUAACUUCAGAUUGUUGGUAACGAUUAUUUCAGCCAUUGUGGGGACUGGCUUAUUUGCACAGAGACUGCAUUCGAUGUAAAAUUUUCUAUUUUGUGGUUGCUUCAGGGCGUGAAGGCUAUAGUAAAAAUAAAUAGCUUACUCAACAUUGAAGAGUAUUGUGAUGAUGAAUUAGACACCUAAAAUUAGCAUACUUCUUUAAAAUAUUAUAUGUUCAGUAUAGAACUUUUAGACACCACAGAUAAACGCAAAGAAAAUAAAUCCUAUAAUCUAGAAACAAGCACUUUGGCAUACACUGAUUUCUCCUUACACACACAAAUUCACAAACACACAGAAAUAUGUAUAUGUCUUUAAAAAAACAUGUACCCCUUCACAAAUUGUCCAAGAUAGUGGUUGUAUUCAAAUAAUAUAUUGGGACCAUUAUUCACUUACUCUCUCUUUUUCUCUCUGGUGUGUGUGAGAGAAUGGUUGCAUAUUUCAUUAUGUGGAUAUCUCACAAUGAAACCAUCACGUAGCUAAAGAACUAGAUGGUCAUCAGUGACUUACAUAUACUCUCAGGCUUCUCAUCUAUUUCAUUCCUUUUCCCUCCACUAUCACAAGUCUCCCGGCCUUCUAUCAUUCUUUCCCUUUAAAAAAAUAAACUAUACACACACGCACACAGUAUGUGGCUUAUUUUCUCUGGUAUUUGGCCUUUGUAAAAAUGGGAUCAUCUUGUUAAUGGCCCUCUUUCAUCACUCAACAUUAUGUUUAAAGAUUCAUUCAUAAUACUGAAUGUAAUUCACUCCUGUGUAAUAUUCCAUAGUGUUAAAAUGCCACCAUUUCUCCAUUCUGCUAUUGAUGUACAUUUGAGUUGUUAGGGAUUUGUGUGUGUGUGUGUUGCUCUUAUGAGCACCACUGACAUGAAUAUUCUUAUGCAUGUCUCUUGAUGUGCAAAAAUAUCAAGGAGUGAAAAUGCUGGAUCAUAGGUGAUGCUAAUGUUUGGCUAUACAAUAAAAUAUCAAAUUAUUUUUCAAAGUGAAUUCUAUCAAUUUACACUCUCAUGCAAAUCAUACAAAAGUGCAUGAAAGUACUAGUUGCUUCAUAUUGUUGCCCACCCUUGGUAAUUUCUAUCUUUUCUCAUUUUAGCACUUGUUGUUUUGCUUUAGUGGUAUGCACUGUGCUUUAAUUAACAUUUCGCUGAUAACUAGUGAAACUGAACACUUAUUUGCGUGUUGAUAGACAUUGGGAUAUUUACUUUUCUAAAGUGUCUGCUCAUAUCUUUUGUCCAUUUCCCAUUUGCUUUUUGUUUGUUUAAUUGUAAGAAUUUUAAAGAUCAUAAUCUGAGUUUAUUGUUGCACAGACUGGUGACAUAUAGUCUCCCAUUCUUUGCUUUUUCACUCUCUUUGUGGUGUCUUGAUAAAUUAAGAAACUACUAAUGUUAAUUUAAGCCAAUUUAUUAAUUUUCUUGUUUAUGUUUAGCAUCUUUUGAGUAGCACCAGUGGUGUUAAGGAAAUAUUUUUGUCUACACCAAAGUCACAAAGUUAUUCUUCUGUGUUUAAAAGCUUAAGUAUAUUACUCUUUAGAUCUAUAUUCUAUAUAAUUUGAUUUUUGUAUAUGGUAUAGAAGGAAUCAAGAUUCACUUUUUUCUGUAUGGAUAUUCAACUUACAUAGAACCAUUUACUGAAAUGAUUACCCUUUCCCUACCACACUGCCCUGUUACCCUUGUUGUAAUCUUGUGACCACAUAUCUGUGUUUGUUUCUAUUCCCUCUGUUCUUUUGGCCUAUUCUUGAAGCGAUGGCUCAAAGCAUUAAUUAGUAUCAUUUUAUAAUAAGUCUUGAGGCCUUGUGGCAUAAGUCUUGGCAUUGUAUUUCAUUUUUAUUUUAACUUUUAUUUUAGGUUUGAGGGUACAUGUGAAGGUUUGUUACAUAGGUAAACAUGUGUCAUGGGGAUUUAUUGUACAUAUUAUUUCAUCAGACAUUAUUUUCUUCAUGUGUUAGUUUGUUAAGGAUAUUUUUCUCCGGCUUUAUCCAUGUCCCUGCAAAAGACAUGAUCUCAUUCUUUUUAUGGCUGCAUAGUAUUCCAUGGUGUAUACAUACCACAUUUUCUUUAUCCAAUCUGUCAUUGAUGGGUGUUUAGGUUGAUUUCACGUCUUUACUAUUGUGAAUAGUGCUGCAAUGAACAUUCACAUGCAUGUGUCUUUAUGAUACAAUGAUUUAUAUUCCUCUGGAUAUAUACCCAAUAAUGGGAUUGCUGGGUAAAAUGUUAGUUCUGCUUUUAGCUUUUUUGAGGAAUCGCCAUACUGCUUUCCACAAUGGUUGAACGAAUUUACACUCCCACCAACAGUGUAUAAGUGUUGCCUUUUCUCUGCAAUCUUGCCAGCAUCUAUUGUUUUUUGGCUUUCCAAUAAUAGCCAUUCUGACUGGUGUGAGAUAGUAUCUCAUUAUGGCUUUGAUUUUCAUUUCUCUAAUGAUCAGAGAUAGUGAAUUUUUUUUCACAUGCUUGUUGGCUGCAUGGCUGUUUAUGUCCUUUGCCCACUUUUUAAUGGGGUUGUUUUUCUCAUAAAUUUGUUUAAGUUCCUUAUAAAUGCUGGGUGUUAGACCUUUGUCAGGUGCAUAGUUUGCAAUUUGUUCUCCCAUUCUGUAGGUUUUCUGUUUAUGGAUGGUUUGUUUUUCUGUUUGUUUUUUGCUGUGUGGAAGCUCUUCAGUUUAAUUAGUUCCCAUUUGUCAAUUUUUGUUUUCAUUGCAAUUGCUUUUGGUGUUUUUGUCAUUAAAUAUUUGCCUGUUCCUAUGUAUUGCCUAGGUUGUCUUCUAGGGUUUUUAUAAUUUGGGGUUUUACAUUUAAGUCUUUGAUCCAUCUUGAGUUGAUUUUGCAUGUGGCAUAAGGAAAGGGUCCAGCUUCAAUCUUCUGCAUAUGGCUAGCCAGUUAUCCUAGCAUCAUUUAUUAAAUAGGGAGUCUUUUCCCCACUGAUUUUUUUUUGUCAGCUUUGUCAAAGAUCAGAUGGUUGUAAAUGUGCAGCCUUAUUUCGGGGCUCUCUAUUCUGUUUCAUUGGCCUGUGUGCCUCUUUUUGUAUCAGUACCAUAGUGUUUUGAUUACUGUAGCCUUGUAGUAUAGUUGGAAGUUGCAUAAUGUGAUGCCUCCAGCUUUGUUCUUUUGGCUUAGGAUUGUGUUGUCUAUUCAGGCUCCUUUUUGGUUCCAUAUGAAUAUUAAAAUAGCUUUUUCUAGUUCUGUAAAGAAUGUAGCUGAUAGUUUGAUAGGAAUAGCAUUGAAUCUAUAAAUUGCUUUGGGCAGUAUAGUCAUUUUAGUGAUAUUGAUUUUUCCUAUCCAUGAGCAUGAGCUGUUUUUCCAUUUCUUUGUGUCUUUUCUGAUUUCUUUGAGCAGUGUUUUGUAAUUCUCAUUGUAGAGACCUUUCACUUCAUGUGUAUUCCUAGCUGUAUUCCUAGAUAUUUUACUCUUUUUUGUGGCAUUUGUGAAUGGGAUUGCCUUUCUGAUUUGGCUGUUGGUUUGGCUGUUGUUGGUUUAUAGGAAUGCUACUGAUUUUUGCAUAUUGAUUUUGUAUCCUGAGGCAUUGCUGAAAUUGCUCAUCAUCUGGAGGAACUUUUGGGCUGAGACUAUGGGAUCUUCCAGAUAUAGAGUCAUAUCAUCUGCAGAGAUAGUUUGACUUCCUCUCUUCCUAUUUGGAUGCCCUUUAUUUCUUUCUCUUCCCUGAUUGGUCUAGCUGGGACUUCCAAUACUAUGUUGAAUAGAAGUGGUAGGACAGGGCAUCCUUGUCUUGUCCCAGUUUUCAAGGUGAAGACUUCUGGCUUUUGCCCAUUCAGUAUAAUGUUGGCUAUAGGUUUGUCAUAGAUGGCUCUUAUUAUUUUGAGGUAUGUUCCUUCGAUACCUAGUUUAUUGAGAGUUUAUAACAUGAAAGGGUGUGUUAUAUUUUAGCAAAAGCCUUUUUCUGUAUCUAUUGAGAUAAGCAUGUGGUUUUUGUCUUUACUUCUGUUUAUGUGAUGAAUCACAUUUAUUGAUUUGUGUAUGUUAAAUCAACCUUCCAUCUCAGGGAUGAAGCCUACCUGAUGAUGGUGGAUUACUUUUUGAUGUGCUGCUAGAUUCAGUUUACAAUAAUUUUGUUGAGGAUUUUUGCAUCAUUGUUCAUCAAGGAUAUUAGCCUGAAGUUUUCUUUUGUUGUUGUGUCUCUGCCAGGUUUUGGUAUCAAGAUAAUGCUGGCCUCAUAGAAUGAGUUGAGGAGGAGUCCCUCCUUUCCAGUUUUUUGGAACGGUUUCUGUAGGAAGGGUACCAGCUCAUCUUUGUACAUCUGGUACAAUCUGGUUGUGAAUCCGUCAGGUCCCAGGCUUCGUUUGGUUGGUAGGCUAUUUAUUACUGAUUCAAUUUCAGAGUUUCUUAUUGGUCUUUUCAGGGCAUAAAUUUCUUCUUCCUGGCUCAGUCUUGAGAGAAUGUAUGUGACCAUGAUUUUAUCCACCUCGUCUAGGUUUUCUAGUUUGUGUGCAUAGAGGUGUUUGUAGUAGUUUCUGAUGGUUGUAUUUAUUUCUGUGGGGACAGUAGUAACGUUCCCUUUGUCAUUUCUAAUUGUAUUUAUUUGGAGUUCCUCUAUUAUCUUUUUUAAUAGUCUAGCUAGUGGCCUAUUUUAUUAAUUUUUUUCAAGAAAACAACUCCUGGAUUUAUUGAUCUUUUUAAUAACUUUUUGUGUCUUGAUUUCCUUCAGUUCAACUCUAAUUUUGUAUUUUUCUCCUCUGCUAGCUUAGGGGUUGAUUUGUUCUUCUCUAAUUCUUUCAGUUGUGCAGUUAGGUUGUUAAUUGAGAUCUUUCUAACUUUUUGAUAUAGGCAUUAAGUGCUAUGAAUUUCCCUCUUAACACUGCCUUAGUUGUGUUCCAGAGAUUCUGGUAUGUUGUAUCUUGGUUCUUAUUAUUUUCAAAGAACUUCUUGAUUUCUGCCUCAAUUUCAUUAUUUACCCAAAAGUCAUUCCAGAGCAUGCUGUUUAGUUUCCAUAUAAUUGCUUGUUUUUUUAGUGAUUUUCAUAGUCUUUACUUCUAUUUUUACUGAGCUGUGGUCCAAGACUGUGUUUAGUAGAUUUCAGUUCUUUUACAUUUGCUGAGGAUUGUUUUAUGUCUAAUUAUGUGGUUCGUUUUAGAGUAUGUGCCAUGUGGCAAUGAGAAGAAUGUAUAUUCUGUUGUUUUUGGGUGGAGAGUUCUAUGAAGGUCUAUCAGAUCCAUUUGGUCCAGUGUUGAGUUUAGGUUCUGAAUAUUUUUGUUAAUUUUCUGCCUCAAUGAUUUGUCUAAUACUGUCAGUGGAGUGUUGAAGUCUCCCACUAUUAUUGUGUGGUUGUUUAUGUUGCUUUGUAGGUCUCUAAGAACUUGCUUUAUGAAUCUGGGUGCUCCUAUGUUGGGUGCAUAUAUAAAUUUAGGAUAGUUGACUCUUCUUGCUGAAUUGAACCCUUUACCAUUAUGUAAUGCCCUUCUUUGUCUUUUUGGAUCUUUGUGGCUUUGAACUCUGUUUUGUCUGAAAUUAAGAUCGCAACCCCUGCUUUUUUCUGUUUUACAUUUGCUUGGUAGGUUUUCCUCUAUCCCUUUAUUUUAAGCUUAUGAGUGUCAUUACGUUUGAGACGGAUCUCUUGAAGAUGGCAUACCAAUGGGUCUUGCUUUUUUAUCCAGCUUGUCACUCUGUGCCUUUUAUUUGGGGCAUUUAUUCCCUUUGCAUUCAAGGUUUAGUACUGAAUGUAUGAAUUUGAUUUUGUCAUUGUGCUGUUAGCUGGUUAUUAUGUUAACUUGUUUUUGUGGUUGCUUUAUAGUGACACUGGUCUGUGGGUUUAAGUGUGUUUUUGUAUUAGCUGGUAGUGGUCUUUUCUGUCCAUAUUUAGGACUCCUUUCAAGAUCUCUUUAAGGCAAGUCUGGUAGUAAUGAAUUCCCUCAACAUUUGCUUAUCUGCAAAGGAUCUUAUUUUCCUUUCACUGAGGAAGCUUAGUUUAACUGGAUAUGACAUUCUUUGUUGAAGACUUUUUACUUUAAGAGUUUUGAACAUAGGCCCCCAGUUUCUUCCAGCCUGUAGAAUUUCAGUUGAGCCGUCCACUGUUAGCCUAAUGGGGUCCCCUUUGUAAGUAACCUGCCCUUUCUGUCUAGCUGCCUUUAACAUUCUUUCAUUUCAACCUUGGAGAAAGCUCAAUUACGUGUUUUGGGGAUGAUCUUCUUGUGUAGAAUCUUGCAGUUCUCUGUAUUAACUGAAUUUGGCUGUUGGCCUCUCUAGCAAGGUUGGAGAAGUUUUCAUAGAUGAUAUCAUGAAAUAUAUUUUCCAAGUUGUCUGCCCUCCCUUUAAGGGAUGCCAAUGAUUUGUAGAUUUGGUCUCUUUACAUAAUCCCAUAGUUGUCGAACGUUUUGUUCCUUACUUUUCAUUCUUUUUUAUUUAUUUUUGUCUGACUAUCUUAUUUCAGAGAACCAGACUUCACAUUCUGAGUUCUUUUCCUCAGCUCGGUUUAUUCUGCUAUUAAUUAUUUCUUCCUAAAGAAAGCCUUGACUUUUAUAGGCUCUUUAAAUUUCUAUAUAAAUAUUGGAAUCAGCAGGUAUAUUGACAUUUUGAUUGAAAUUGUAUUAAAAUUAUGGAUGAAUUUGGGGAGAAUUGACAUUAUUAUAAUAACUUUUAUUUUUUAUAAAUAUGGUAUAUAUACUCCAUUUAUUUAGAACUACUUUAAUUUCUCUCAAUAAUGUUUUUGAUUUUUUAAUUGUUUUAAUUUUGAAUGUAGAGAUCUUGUACAUCUUUCAUUAUAUUAAUUCAGAAAUGUCUGCUGUUCUUUAUGCUCCUGUAAAUGUAUUUUUAAAAUUCAAUUUUCUAUUUAUUUGUUGCAAGUAUAUACAAAUAUAAUGUUUUUAUUGGUCUAAUAUGCAGCAAACUUGCUAAAUUCACUUAUUAAUUCUAGUAGUUUGGUUAUAAAUCAUUUGGGUUUUCUAUGUUUAAAAUCAUUUUGUCUCCCCAAAUUGCAAUUUUAUUUCUUCCUCUCCAAUUCCUAUGCCUUUGAUUUCUUUUUCUUGCCUUGUUCUAAAUGGGCCCCUCGUGCAAUGUUGCACAGGAGUGACAAGAGUAGACAAGCCUGUCUCCAUUCCUAACAUCAAGACGAAAUCUUUUAAUAAAUCACCAUUAAAUAUGUUGUAAGUAUGUUGUAGAUACCCUUUAUCAGAUUAAGAAAGUUUCCUUUCAUUCCUAGAAUCUAAGAGUAUUUAUCAUGAAUAAAUGUUAAAUUUUAUCAAAAUAUUUUUCUAUAUCUAUAAAGAUAACAAAGACAAAAAUAUCCACGAUUUUGCUCCUUUUUCUUUUAGUGUGAUGUUACAUUGAUUGAGUUUUAAUUUUAAAGCCAUUUUACCAUCAUAUAUGAUUUCUUUUAUGCAUUACUAGAUUAGCUUGGUUAAUAUUUAUUUAGGAAUUUUUUCAUCUAUUUUAUAAGAUACAUUUGACUAUAAUUUUCCUUUUUGUAAUAUUCUCAUCAGAUUUUUCUAUCAAAGUUUAACUGCAUCAUAAAGUGAGUUAGGGAAAUGAUCCUUUUUUCCUCUACUAUAGAAGAGUUUUUAUAAUAACAUAUUUGGCGGAAUUCACAAGUGAAAUCAUCUGGGCUUAGAGUUAUCUUUUUGCGGAGAUUAUUGGAUAACUGAUUCAACUCUUAACAGGUAAAGGACUAUUUUAAUUUUCUAUUUAUCCUUGAAUUAGUGCCAGGAAUGUGUGGUUUUCAAGAAAUGUGUACAUUUUACCUAAAUUUUCAGAUUUAAUGGAGUGUAAUUAUUUAUAAUUUUCUCUUAUUAUAUUUUGAAUAUCUUUACAAAAUGUAAUAAUGAUCCCUUUUUCCAGAAGGCUAAUUUGAGCUUUGCUUCUCUCUUUCUUUUCUUUCUCCCUUCCUUUCUCCUUUCUUCCUUUCUCUCUCUCUCUUUCUUUCUUUCAUUAGUCUUACUAGUGCUGCUACUUUUCCUUUUGAAAGAACAAACUUUUGGCUUUCUUAAUCCUUUGAUUGCACUUUAGUUUUUAUAUUUUAUUAACUGUUGCUCUAACCUUUAUUAUUUUCCAUCCCUUCUUUACUUAUGUUGAAUUUGCUGAUUUGUUUAGACGGAUAUUCAGUCAUUGAAUUUAAACCCUUCUUUGCAAUAUAUGUUUGUAAGAUAACGGAUUCCUUCUACACAUGGCUUUAGCUGCAUUCUCCAAGUUGUCAUAUUUUACUUCAAAUUAUUUUUGAUUUUCCACUGUGGCUAUUCUUGAUCCAUAAGUUAUCAAGAAGUAUACUACUUCUUUUCCAACCUUUUGGGAAUUUUCUGGCUAUCUUUUUUUGUGGUUAUUGCUUUUCACCUUAAUUUCACUGUGGUCAAAUAAUACACUCCAUGAUUUUAAGCUUUUAAAACUCAUUGAAGCUUGCCUUAUGACCUAGUAUAUUGUAAAUUUUAGUAAAUAUUCCAUGUGCACUUAAAACAAAUAUGUAUUUUGUUAUUAUCCUACUAUGCCAAUUGGAUCAUGUUUCUUAAUUGUCUUUUUCAGAUGUUCUGUAUCCUUAUGUUUUAGAUCUGCUUGUUCUACUUUAUCAUUUGUAAAAAACUGUGUUAAAGUCUCUGCUAUGAUUGUUAAUUUGUCUAUGUUUAACAUUUUUUGAAGUUUGGUUUCACACACAUUGAGGCUAUGUUAAUAGCUGUAUAUAUGUCUAGAAUUAUUGUAUAUAGUAUUCCUGAUUCAUUACCUUUUUAGCAUUAUGAAAAAUAUGUUAAUUGCUAUAAAAUCUACUUUGGUUGAUUUUAAAACAUCCAUACCAGUUUUUGUUUUUUUUUUUUUUUGGUUACUGUUUGAAUAGUAUUGGGGGAACCAGCCCCCAGUGUUUUAAUGUAGGUUCUUUCUAUUUUCCCUAAGUGUCAGCCAGUCUGAGAAAUAAAGAGAAAGAGUACAAAGAGAGGAAUUUUACAGCUGGGCCACCAGGGGAGACAUCACAUAUCGGUAGGUCUGUGAUGCCCACCUGAGCCGCAAAACCAGCAAGUUUUUAUUAGGGGUUUUAAAAGGGGAGGGACUGUAUGAACUGGGAGUAGGUAACAAAGAUCACAUGCUUCUGAGGCCAAUAAAGAUUGCAAGGCAAAGGGCAAAUCAAAGAUCACAAGGCAAAGAGCAAAAUUAGAAUUACUGAUGAGGGUCUGUGUUCAGCUGUGCACAUAUUGUCUUGAUAAACAUCUUAAACAACAGAAAACAGGGUUCAAGAGCAGAGAACUGGUCUGAUCUCAAUUUCACCAGGGUGGGGUUUUUCCUCACCCUAGCGAAUCUGAGGGUACUGCAGGAGACCAGGGCAUAUUUCAGUCUUUAUCUCAUCCACAUAAGACAGACACUCCCAGAGUGGCCAUUUAUAGACCUUGUCCCAGGAAUGCAUUCCUUCCCCAGGGUGUUAAUUAUUAAUAUUACUUGCUGGGAAAAGAAUUCAGUGAUAUCUCUCAUACUUACAUGUCUGUUUAUAGGCUCUCUGCAAGGAGAAAAAUAUGGCUCUAUUCUGCUCAACCCUGCAGGCAGUCAGACCUUAUGGUUGUCUUCCCUUGUUCCCUAAAAUUGCUGUUAUUCUGUUCGUUGUCAAGGUGCACUGAUUUCAUAUUGUUCAAACACUCAUGUUUUACAAUCAGAUUUCAUAUUGAUCAAACGCACAUUUUACAAUCAAUUUGUACAGUUAAUGCAAUCAUCACAGGGUCCUGAGGUCAUGUACAUCCUCAGCUUACAAAGAUAACAGGAUUAAGAGAUUAAAGUAAUUUCUUACACCUAAGAAAUUAUAAGGCACAAGAAAUUAUAAGAGUAUUGUUAGGGAAGUGAUAAAUGUCCAUGAAAUCUUCACAAUUUAUGUUCUUCUGCCAUGGCUCCAGCCAGUCCCUCCGUUCGGGGUCCCUGACUUCCUGCAACAAAUAGCAUAUUUUCCUCUACCUUUUUACUUUCAACUAUACUAUGCUCUUAAACGUAAGGUAUAUCUUUUGUAGGCAUAUUGUUAAAUUUCAACAAUUCAAAAAUUGUUGAAUCUUGACAGUUUUUAUCUUUAUACAGUUUUUAGUCCAUUUACAUUAUGUCAUUACUAAUAUAUUUGGGUAUAAAUCGGCCAUCUUCCUAUUUGUUUUCUGUUUGUGCCAUCUUUACUAUAUUACUUCUUCUUUCUUUUGGGAAUGCCAAGAACCCAAAAGCAAAUGCAACAAAAACAACAAUAAAUAGAUGGGCCUUAAUUAAACUAAAAAGCUUCUGCACAGCAAAAGGAAUAGUCAGCAAAGUAAACAGAUAACCCACAGAGUGGGAGAAAAUAUUCAUAAACUAUGUAUCCAACAAAGGACUAAUAUUCAGAAUCUACAAGGAUUUCUGAUCUGCAAGAAAAAAACAAAUAAUCCCAUCAAAAAGUGGGCUAAGGACAUGAACAAACAAUUCUCAAAAGAUACACAAAUGGCUAAGAAACAUAUGAAAAUAUGCUUAACAUCACUAAUUAUCAGGGAAAUGCAAAUAAAAACAACAAUGCAAUGCCACCUUACUCCUGCAAAAAUGGCCAUAAUUAAAAAAUAAAAAAAAAUAGGUGUUGGUGUGGAUGUGGUGAAAAGGGAACACUUUUACACUGCUGGUGGAAAUGUAAACUAGUACAACCACUAUGGAAAACAAUAUGGAGAUUCCUUAAGAAAGUAAAAGUAGAAUUACCAUUUGAUACAGCAAUCCUACUGAGUAUCUACCCUGAGGAAAAGAAGCCGUUAUGUAACAAAGACACUUGGACACAAAUGUUUGUUGUAGCACAAUUCACAAUUGCAAAAAUGUAGAAUCAGCCUAAAUGCCCAUCAACCAAUGAGUGGAUAAAGAAAACGUGGUAUAUAUACAUAUAUAUAUAUAUAUAUAUAUGUAUAUAUACCAUGGAAUACUACUCAACCAUAUAAAGGAAAGAGAUAAUGGCAUUUAGGCAAACUGGAUGGGGUUGGAGACCAUUAUUCUAAGUGAAUUAACUCAGGAAUGGAAAAAUCAAACAUCGUAUGUUCUCACUUAUAAGUGGGAGCUAAGCUACACGGACACAAAGGCAUAAGAAUGAUAUAAUGAACUUUGGAGACACGGGGGGAAGGGUUGGAGAGAAGUGAGAGAUAAAAGACUAUACCCUGGGUAUAGGGUACACUGGUCAGGUGUUGGGCACAACAAAAUUUCAGAAAUCAUCACUAAAGAACCUUAAGCAAAUGCCAUGUGUUCCCCCAAAACUAUUGAAAUAAAAAAAUAUAUAAAUAAAUUAAGAAAAAAGAAAAAUUCAUGAGAUUACUCAAUUAAACAAAGUAGCUGAUAUGGAUAAAUGCAUUUUAUUUAAAAAUUGAAAUAUUUGGAAAUUAAUGAAUAUGACUAAAAGAAGUUUGAGUAAUUAAACCAACACUCAUAACUUUUGAAGAAUAUUAACAAUUUGAAGUUUAUUCUCAUUAAAACUCAGAAAGUGUUCUGCAAAUUUAUGAAAUGAAUGAAUUUGUUUAAAUUGCAAGACAAGGGUAAAUUAGUACAAAUCCAAAAGAUAAUUUUACAAAACAGCAGAAUUUUUAAAAGAAGAAAAAUGAAGAGGAAAUAUCAAAAUAAAGUUUAAAGGUUAAGAUGGAAGUAAUAAACCUCAUUUAUAUCAAUCAUUACACUGAAUGUGAGUGGUUUGAAUAUUCCCAUUAAAAUCAGAGGCAUUAAGAUUGGUAUUAAAGAAAAAAAAUCUGUGUUAGAAGUCAUAUAAUUAAAACUGAAUGAGGAAAAAAUUGUAUUAAUGGAAGGGUCAAAGAGAUAAAAGGCAAAUACGAAGAGAAACAAAGAGUUCCAGUAUAAAUAUUAGAUACAGUGGAAUGGUUAAAAGAACUAAUCAGAAUAAAGAAGGAAAUAAUAAAGCAUAAAAUAGCAGUCAUAACUUCAACACAUCAAACAAAUGGCAGUGAAAUAACUAAAGAAAAGUGAUUUGAAUUACAAGAAAUACUUGAUAAAAUAUAUCUUCUCAGAACUGGAGAUACUUAGUAGGCUCCAAAAAAUAUUGAAUAUUGAUACAGAGGGGUCGAAUAAUACAAUAAAGAACUUCAUUAUAUAUAUAUUAAAUUUUAUAUGUAUAUAAAAUUUAUAAAUUCUAUAUAUAUAAUAUAGGUGGCAUACACACAUAUAUACAUAUAUACAGACACAUGCAUAAAUACACACACAUAUACAUAUAUAAAAAAAGCCUUAUAAUCUCAAAUAGAAAAUGCCUUUCUCUGUAUUUCCAUGGAAUAUUUGCAGAAAGCCAUUCAAGUUCUUGAAGACAAAAAAACCUUUAAUAGUUUUUAGAAAUUAGGUUCUAUAGGCCAAAUUUUUUAUCCUAAUCAUUAAAAAAUAAUUAAAAGGUGAUUCUCUUCUUUUUAAAAUACUUGAGAUUUCAAGCCGUUUAUACUUGGAAAUUUUAAAACAUGCCUUUCAAUAAUCCUUGGGUCACAAAGAAAAUAUCAAAAUGACAUAUAAACCAUAUCAAAAGCAAUGAAAAAGAUAAUACUUUAUAUCAGAUCCAAAAGACUCAGUAGUGACUGUAUUCAGAGGAAAAGGCAUCGCCUUAAAUAUCUUUUUAGAAAAGAAAGAGAAAAAAUAAGCUAUCAUUAAACCUCACCAUAAAAUGAUAAGAAAAGUUCAAAUUUAUUCAAUUACAUUUUUAUAUGGUUAUUGAAAUGACCUGGAUGAACUUGUACAUCUAAGCAGUUCAGGUGUCCAACUUUAAAAUCUAAAUCUCUCAUCGUCCUGUGUAUGAUUCUUCACCACCUGGUGGUGAUUGUCUGCUCAAGAUUCGUUAUCAGUUGGGAAGGUUUGGGGUUAUAUUACUAGCUAGGGCUCCAGGAUAGCAACAACAAUUCAAGGAAUAUUAUAGUCAGUUGUCUUCAUUUCCUGGAGCUGAUCCAGCGAUAAUGAGCUAGCAUAUUACUGAUAUGUAAUACUAAAUACUAACUCAUGAAGAAAAAGGCAGAGGUGGUGGUAGCACUCCUUUUAACCUUUCUUGUAGUGCUGGCUUGGUAGUGGCAAAUUCUCUCAGCAUUUGUUUGUCUGAAAAAUACUUUAUCUCUCCUUCGUUUAUGAAACUUAGUUUAGCUGGAUACAAAAAUCUUGGCUGAUAGUUAUUUUGUUUGAGGAGACUGAAGAUAGAUCCUCAAUCCCUUCUGGCUUAUAGGGCUUCUGCUGAGAAAUCUGCUGUUAAUCUGAUAGGUUUUUCGUUACAGGUUAACUGAUACCUUUGCCUCACUUCAUCUUGGCCUUAUGUAACCUGAUGAUUAUGUGCCUAGGUGAUGAUCUUUUUGCAAUGAAUUUCCCAGGUGUUCUUUGAGCGCCUUGUAUUUGGAGGUCUGGAUCUUUGGCAAGGCCGGGGAAUGUUUGCUUGAUUAUUCCCUUGAAUAAGUUUUCCAAACUUUUAGAUUUCUCUUCUUUCUCAAGAACACUAAUUAUUCUUAGGUUUAGUCGUUUAACAUAAUCCCAAAUUUCUCAGAGACUUUGUUUAUAUUUUUUUGUUCUUUCUUAUUUGACUCUGUCUGAUUGGGUUAAUUCAAAAGCCUUGUUUUUGAGCUUUGAAGUUCUUUCUUCUACUUGUUCUAGUCUAUUGUUCAAACUUUCUGGUGUAAUUUGUAUUUCUCUAAAUGUGUCUUUCAUUUCCAGAAGUUGUGAUUGUUUUUUCUUUAUGAUAUCUAUUUUUCUGGAAAUAAUUCAUCUAUAUCCUGUAUUAUUUUUUACAUUUAUUUAAUUUGGUUUUCAUCUUUCUCUGCUAUCUCUUUGAGUAGUUUAAUAAUCAACCUUCUGAAUUCUUUAUCUGAGAAUUCAGAGAUUUCUUCUUGGUUUGGAUCCAUUAAUCUUUUGGGGGUGUUAUAAAACCUUGUUUCAUCAUAUUACCAGAAUUACUUUUCUGGUUCCUUCUGAUUUGGGUACACUAUUUCAGAGGAAAAGUCUGGAACUCAAGGGCUGCUGUUCUGAUUCUUUUGUACAAUAGGGUGAUCCCUUGAUGUAGUGCUCUCCCACUUUCCCUAGGGAUGGGGCUUCCUGAGAUCCAAACUGCUGCGAUUAUUAUUGCUUUUCUGGGUCUAGCCACCCAGUGGGGCUACCAGGCUCUGAGCUGGUACUAGGAAAUGUCUGCAAAGAGUCCUGUGAUGUGAUUCAUCUUCAGGUCUCCCAGCUGUGGAUACCAGCACCUGCUUUGGUGGAGGUGGCAGGGGAGGGAAGUAGACUCUGUGAGAGUCCUUGGUUGUAGUUAUGUUUAGCGUUUUGGUUUUCUCAAAUGCUAGUUAUUCUAGCAGUGAAGUUGUCACAUGGACAGAGUCAGGACCUCUGGUUAGCCAGGACGUUGCAGGCAGAGGAAUUAGCUGUUGUUUUGUCUUUCCUUGGAGCAGGAUUAUUCUGUCAUGAAUUGCUGUAAUGGUUUGAGUUGGUUGGCCUCUAGCCAGGAGGUGGCACUUUCAAGAGAGCACCAGCUGUGGCAGUAGAAGGGGGAUAUAAGCUUGCCCUAAGUUGGACAGGAUAAGUUUCUCAGGUAAUGGGCAGGGCCAUAAAGCUCCCAAGAAUUUAUGUGUUUUGUGUUUGGCUACCAGGCAGGUAGAGGAAAACCAUGCAGGUCAGACUCUCCUUGGGUCAGGCUUGCUACGUCCACUGUGGGGUAUGGGGAGGUGGUUAUCAGGCCAAUGGAGUUAUGUUUCAAGGGGGAUUAUGGCUGCUUCUGCUUCAUUGUAUAUGUCACCAGGGAAGUGGGGGAAACCUAGCAGUUAUAGGUGUUACCCAGCUCCCACACAGCUGGUGAGGCCAGUCUCACUUCUGCUGUGCCCCACCAAUAGUGCCAAGUUUAUAUCCAGGCAGCCUGCAUGCAGGGCUCAGAUCUUGCCCCAGGUUACAAGCCUGCCACUGAGAAAGCAAGCAUGGCUUUUAGGUCUCAUGCCUCUCCACCUUCCGAUACUGAUGGCCACUGCUCCUGUGCUGGUAUCUCUAGCAAUUCCUGUUUGUCCCCUAGAUUCUGCUCAAGAAAAUUCAUGCUUGAACUAAAUUAUUACGAAGUUCAGUGGGAAGCUUCUUUCACCCUGUGAUCCCUCCCUACUUCUGAUGGCUACCUUCUCCAAGGACCCCUGUGAGAUAGAGUCAGGGAUGGCUUCCCUGGGCUUGAGCUGGGACCUGGGAGUGCCUACAGGGCUCUUCCUGCUGCUUCUUCUGCUUUAAUAUUUUGCUCAGCUCCCUAAAUUUGUUUCAGUUCUACGUAAGGUUAAAUCUUUUUCUCAUGACCUGGAUUUUCAGAUUCCGCAGUGGGAUGUGUGUUCAGAGGCAUAUUUUCCCCUUUCAUACUUUGGGAACUCACAGUUUUUUGGCUAUCUCAUGGAGUUUGCAGUGGCCAGCCACUUCUUCCGCAGGAUCUGUGAACUCUUUCAGUCUUCCUGGCAUGUUCCUGUGGCAGGUCUCAGAGCAAAAGUUCAUAGUGUGAGUCUUCACAUGCUGUCCUGUCUGUCCAACUGGGAGCUGCCCAUUAGUCCUGUCUCCCAUCUGCCAUUUUCUCUCCUUAAUCCUGAUAAACUAAUCCAAUUUUUAUUUUUUAAAAAAUCACUGCUAUACCUAUCUCCAGUGUCAAAGUCUUUCUAGAGUAAUCCUAUAUUCAGGUCUGUAUCACACAGUACUAACCAAAGAGUCCACUCUGUUCUAACAGCUGAAUAUUUACUACUGGCAGUGGUAUCAGAGAAAGAAAGAAAAAUUAAAUUUUCAGACCACCAAUUGGGUGGACAGAGGAAUUUAAGUAUAUUAUCUCUUUGUUCUGGGUAUAUAUGAUAGAGUUUCUGGUCAGUUGAAAAUUUUUUUUUCUGUAAAAUACUUCAUAAUCAGCUAGAAAAAUAUUUGGUUAGUUAUUCCUUUAUAUUUAAUCUAGAUUUACAUUGCAAAGCCAAACAUGAAGAAUGUUUACCAACUUGGGCAAAAUAACUUCAUAGAUUUUCCAAAGUAGACUUCAUCCUCUCAUGAUGGCUUUAUGCCUAUGAAUCUAGGCUGACUUUAUGGUCUUUGGGUCUGUCUGUUUGUGACAUGUGAAGACGAAUGCUUGGUUGGGUUGGGGGUGGGCAGUCUGGAGUCAUGUGUGUGGGAUUCUGGACUAACCCGGGCUUUUAGAUGAUCUUUUCUCCUAUUUGGUUUUCAAAAGGUCAGUGUGUGAGCCACUUCAAUGCCUCCCACUGUUUUCCUUUGCAUUUUACAAUGCCUGUGUGAGCUCCAGGAGGGAGCACAUUUAUUGUGCAUGCCAUUCAGUUUAGAUUCUACUAGAGCAAAUGAUUACAACAACUCAGAGGAAAAAGCUGGAAAAUAAGUCCCUGAUGUAAAACUGGUCACAGGGCCAAAACGGUAGUGCCAAUUAUGAUUUCAGUGCCUUAUACACAUUACGUCGCCAACAGUCUUUUUAAAAAUAUCUAAUUUAUUUAUUAUUGGCUAGGGUGGGCAUAUUAAACAAUAUUUCUUCUCAAGUAGCCAGUUGUCUUUGCAUUAGAAGUUAAGAUUAAAAGUUUACAUUCACUUGUGUUAAUUUCACUUUUUUUGUUUUUAAAUGAGGAGCAUUAAUGGCAAUAAAUGGGCUAAAGAAAAAGAAUGCCUGGAGGGCUGACACAGCAUGGGUGUGGUCCUGGGGUAUAUAUAGCACUCUCUAUAAUUUUCUAGCUAAUGUUCCUUUCCUUGAUUACAUGGAUUAAAAGCAGCAUGUUAUUAUAUCUGGCAAGCCAAUCACAUAAAUAAUAAAGGCUUAUUACAUUCUUCUUAUGUUGAAGUCACAGAUCCAGGUCCCAUAAAAGCCUUGACAUGAUGCUUGCUCCUACAUUAAGGCAUUUGUGAAGAGAUGAAUCAUAAACAAGUACAUGUUAACCCUGAUUCAAGAGUUACACAAUAAUCUAUUAUUUAAUGAUUGAAAAAAUUGUAAAACGGCGCUUGAUUGUCAAAUAAGCUGCAAUUCUUUUUUCCCCAAUUUAACUGAGUUAUAGAUGACAAUUAAAAACAAGUAUUUCAAAGUUCUACUAUAGAAUUAUAUUUUAAUAACAUUAGCAUUUUGUUCUCUAGUUUAAUAAUCAUACAUUUCUAUUGUAGUAUAGUCAAGCAUCACUUAAUGACAGAGAUACCUUCUGAGAAAUGCAUCCUUAAGAUAUUGUAAUUGUGCAAACAUCAUAGAGUGUACUUUCACAAACCUAGGUGGUACAGCCUGCUACACACCUAGGCUAUAAGGUAUAGCCUAUUGCUCCUAGGCUACAAACCUGUACAACAUGGUAUCGUACUGAAUACUGUAGGCACUUUUAGUAAAAUGGUAAAUAUUUGUAUAUCUAAACAUAGCUAAACACAGAAAAAGUACAGUAAAAGUACAGUAUAAUAACAUAAAAAAUGUAAGCCAGUAUAGGUCACUUAACAGGAAUAAAGUUUGUGGGAUGGGAAGUUGCUCUGGGGUGGCAGGUGAGUGAAUGGUAAGUGAACAUAAAAGCCUAGAACAUUACUGUACACUACUGUAGACUUCAUCAACACUCUACAUUUAGGCUAUAUUAAGUUAAUUUAAAUUUUUUCUUUCUUCAAUAAUAAAUUAAACUUUGCUAACUGUAGCUUUUUUAUUUUAUAAACUUUAACAUUUUUUUAAAUUUUUGACUCUUUUGUAAUGACAUUUAGUUAAAAACAAACACAUUUUAGAGCUGUACAAAACUAUUUUCUUUCUUUAUAUCCUUGUUCUAUAAGCUUUUUUCUAUUUUUAAAAUGUAUUUUUCUUGUACUUUUCAAACUCUUUUGUUAAAAACAAAGACACAAACACACACAUUGGCCUAGGCCUACAGAGGAUCAGGGUCAUCAAUAUCACUGUCUUCUGCUACUACGUCUUGUCCCACUAGAAGUUCUUCAGAGGUAAUAGCAAGCAUGGAGCUGUCCUUUCCUAUGAUAACAAUGCCUUCUUCUGUAAUACAUCCUAAAGGAUAUACCUGAGGUUUUUUUCACAGUUAACUUUUUUUUUAAUAAGUAGGAGUAUACUCUAAAAUAAUGAUAAAAAGUAUAGUGAUAGUAAAUACAAAAAUCAGUAACAGUCAUGUAUUAUCAUCAAAUAUUACACACUAUAUAUAAUUGUAUGUGCUAUACUUUUAUACAACUGGCAGCAUAGUUGGUUUGUUUAGAUCAGCAUCACCACAAACAUGUGAGUAAUACGUUGCAUUAUAAUGUUAUAAUGGCUGAGUCACUUAAGGAUAGGGCUUGUUUAGCUGUAGUAUAAUCUUAUGGGACCACUGUCCUAUAUGCAGUCCGUUGUUGAUGGAAAUGUCAUUAUGCUGUGCAUGACUAUAUUCUCUUCAGUAAAGUACACUGAUAUCUUUCCCCAAAAUUAUGUUUUCCCUUUAUUUCUUGUUCUCCAAAUUGUACCACAAAUUGAGAGUAUGUAGAAGAUAAAUAGUUCUAUAAAAUUUGUUCCUAUUACUGGUUGUGUCAGAGAAAGAUCACAGUGAAUUUAUGGAUGAAUUACUUAAUGCUAGAAAAUACCACCCCAAUUUUUCUGUGAAAAUAAACCCCAGAGUUGCAGGAAAACUUCAGCUUUUGUAUGGUAGAUAUAUAUGAGCAUUCAUAAACCCUGGAUUUCUUAAGCCACUGAAUCAAUUCUCUUUGUGGGUUUCCAAAAACCCUAGGAGGAAUCUUCUUGAGUGUCAAUCAUUGAAGCCAGAGAACACAUGGUCAUUUCAAACAAGACCACUCAUUAAUCCCCCCAGCAACACACUCCUUAUUUAUUUUUAUCAAAAUGUACCCAUCUCAUAAACUUAGUACAUUUUCCCAAAGAGCUAAUAACAUGGAACCUCUGGCCAAAGUCAAUAACAACAACAAAAUAUUCUGCUAGCUUUAGCCAACCCCUAUCUACUCCAAGUACAGAGAUUAAAUAGUUCAUGCCUAGAUGAAGCCCCAGUAAACUCACCCUCUGCCAAACCAAGAAAGAUGCAAAUAUGGACUGGAUAUUCCUCUGCUUAUUUGUUAAAUAUAACUACGUCUGGGAAAACUAGGUCAUUAAUAUCUCUUAAAUGCCUCUCACAUUUCAGGCCUGUGUUACCUUCAUUAAUGUUUAUAGAAAUCCUUUUGAGGGCUUCUGAUCCAUUCCUUCAUUCAGUUAUUCAUUCACUAAAUAUUUGUUCCCAUUUUACAGAUGAGAAAACAGGCUGCUAGAGAAUAAGCUUCAAUAAGUAAUUUGCCCAAGAUCACACAGUCAGCUGAUAAAUUGCAGAGUAGAGAUUCAAAGUUAGAUAGAUAUGACUCCAAAAUCAUGUUCUUUCUAUCAUUCAGAGCUUCCAGCAGGAUCAUCUGAGGCCUCUAUACGUAUUUCUGAGUCCCACCCUAUAUCAUUUAAUCAGAAUUUUCUUUGGUUGAGCCCGAAAUCUAUUUUAACAGGGGUUCCAUGUGAUUUUGAUAUGUAGCUUGGUUUAGGAACAACUAAAACACACAGUAGCUUUUCAACUCCUAACAUAGUAACUGGUCCAAAACACCUUAUAAGUAAUAAUUCAUUUUACAAAUAUUUAUUAAGCACUUACUAUGUGUUAGGCAUUGUUAUAGGUAUGGCAGUGAGCAAAACACAAAAAUUCCUGCCCUCGUGGAGCUUAUAUUCUAGUGUGGAAAUGGAGGCAGUUCACAGGGGACAGAGGAAAACCUAAGUAAGUACAUUAUGCAUUAUAUUAGGAGGUGGUAAAUGCUAAGAAGACAAUAGAGAAGUGUAAGGUGAUAAGGAGGGGUGGGGGGAUAAUGUAUUAAAUAAGGCGGUCAAGAUUGUUUUCUGUGCAAAGGUGAGAUUUAAAGAAGGCGAGGAAUGUGCCAUGCGCUUGCCUGGGUAAAAUCAUCAGGCAGAUGGAGUAGCUAGCACAAAGGUGCUAAGGCCUCUAAACAUGUACCUGGUGCAUCCAAGAACCAUCAAGGGGACCAAUGGAGGUGGAGGAAAUGGGCUGGAGAAAGAAGUGAAAGCUAAAGUCAGAAAGGUAAUGAAGGGAAUAGUCAGAUGAGCUCAUGUUGGGUCUUACAGGCUAUUGUAAGUACUUUUACUUUUUCUCUGAGUGAAAUGGGGAACAACUGUCAGGUACUGAGUGAAAAAGUUAUAUGUUCUGAUAAAUAAAAAACAAGUCCAUAUAUAAAGGCUAGAAGAAGAUUUUGAAAGACAUAUCAUCCAGACUCCUCUGCAAAGGCAGGUGUUUUUCUACAUUACUCUAGGGAAACUCUUGUCAAUUUCACACAAAAGCAGGCUUCAUUAUUCUGUAGUCACUCAUCCAUUUAAUUCACUCAUUAACCAAAUAUUCAUCAACCUCACAGUCUACCCUGUGUAAGGUGCUUGCUAAGUUCAGAAGGCUUUCUGGGAUUUAUAACUUGGCCCCCAAGGUGCUCAUGGGCCUUAGUAGCAAUACAUGUGGUCCAGCUUGCCUGUGAAGUAAUUGUUUAUUCUCAAUCUGCUUAACGUUCAUUGUAAUUAAACCCCCUUUCCUGUGGCUGAUUGUCAAAGGUGAUGUAGCCGGUCAAGGCAGUCACCUGCUCUAAGUCUGUGACAAGCCAUGGCCAGCAGUCUCUUCUAAAAGUUUAUUGGAAGAGAAAAGUGUUGUAUGCCCAAGUGUAUAUGAAUGGAGAGACUGGAGAUUAUUGUCAGAGAAGAGAGGAGUUUUUCUUCUGUGUCCUACAAGUGAAGAUGGGAGAAGGAUGCAGUGAUGCCUGGGAAUCUUGAGGAGUAGAAGGGAAGCAUGUGUUAGCUAACUGCUUUUGCUUAUGUAGUAUAUAUUUUGAACUUCAUUGCUAAUGAAUAGGGAAAUGCUUCAGAGCAACAGCAAAACAUGGAAUGAAGGCAUGCCAAAAGGAAAAACUUUUAACAUAGUGACUAAUUCUUUUAAAAUGAUUUAGCUCACAGACUUCACAGGUAGUGGAAAUAGUGUGGUAAUGUACAACAUAGCAGAAUAAGUCACCUCAGUUUUCUUAUUCAGAAGGGGUAAAUAGGCAGGGACCAAAAAUCUGAUUAAUAUUCUAUCAAUGCUUUAAUGCAAGGACAUUUCAAUGGCCACAUUUAAAAGAUUUUUCUUUGUGCUUUACAUCUAGGCCAAUUAAUCUAUGCUAAUAUAAAACAAAAAUUAUUUUGUUUUAUAAAUACAUCAGUCUAAUGGACAGUUGAAACACAUCCCACCUCCCCAUUCACUUUUUUAUUCCUAGAGAUUUAAAUCAAUGAACUGAAUUUUUAUUUUUACAAGACAUGUUGGCUAUAAAUAUAUCACAAAUCAUAAUUAUAAACAUAUCAUACUAUGAAGAAGUAGAAAAUCUCUGAUAUAGAGGCAUCAUUUUCUAAAUAUAUUCUUGCCAUUUUACGUUGAAGAAUGAAGAUAAAUAGGAAUGUGACUAGAAAUCAUAAAAAUACCAAACUGCUAUUUCCCAGAAGUGACAAAAAUAUGAACGAACUUUAAAAAAAAUUGUUUAGAUGGGCUAUAAUACUUGAUUGAGAGUUCAAGUCCUACUGAUGACCAAAUUUCUCUAAAUCUCAAGCUUAGAUAUUGAUGAUGGAAAAUGGGCAUAAAGGCUAGAUUCUGGCUGCCCUCCAGUUAUUGGCAGAAUCCAGGUGGAAGUGCAGUGGUGUGACACCAAAGUAUCCACUUCACUCAGUCAAAGAUGCCAAGUGGUGUUAUUUUAGUGGUGUUGUUGUUUGGUGUCAAUAUCCGAGAUUCAUUGUCUUAUGGCCAUGGAAAAUUAGGACGCAGGCACACACAGAGUGAAGUUCAGAGUGGAAGUUUAAUAGGUGAAAGAAAGAGAAGUGCUCUCUCUGCUGAAGAGACAGGGGUCCUGAAGAAAUGUGUUGCUGCUUUUGCAGUGAAAUACAGAAGGUUUUAUGGAUGAGCUUGAGGAGGUGGUGUCUGAUUUACAUAGGGCAUGAAAAAUUGGUUGGGCCAGGUGUUCCAUUUGCAUAAGGCAUGAAAAACUGGUUAGGACUGGGUGUGCCAUGCAUAGUGCACGAAAAGGCUGGCCACCCACCCUAAUCUUUCAUUAAGCAGAUGGGUUCUCUACACGGCUGGCGCCACAUUGCCUGGUUUUCUACCGUACAUAUGGUGACAAAGAAAAAGGAAGAUGGAGUCGCUGUGCUGAACAUACCUGGCUUCCAGGUAGCUCUUUCCUAUUGGCACAAGCUGCCAGCAUUCAUCUGUGCAAGUUUCCAGCUUGCUUAUCUAUGUUUGCAGAUAGAUUUUUCAGGCUGCUCUUUGUUAGAAAAGAAAUGAUUUGGGGGCUGCUUUUUUUGAUGUUGUUGUUAAAAAGGAAAUUCACUGAGGACUCUGUUGCCUUACUAUCUGCCUAAAUAAUUUAUUUCUAUCUCCUGUAUCACUAUGACAGGGGGAAACAAACAAGAAAAGAAGGGCUGAUCCUGCCUUCUACAUAUGUGGUGAUGCUGUUUGUUCAUUUAUGGGUCACUUUUUUGUAUCUGAGACGGAGCUUGGCUCUUGUUGCCCAGGCUGGAGUGCAGUGGUGCGAUCUCGGCUCACCGCAACCUCCACCUCCUGAGGUCUAGGGAUUCUCCUGCCUCAGCCUCCGAGUAGCUGGGAUUACAGGCACGCACCACCACGCCCAGCUAAUUUUGUAUUUUUGGUAGAGACGGGGUUUUUGUAUGUUGGUCAGGCUGGUCUUGAACUCCUGACCUCAGGUGAUCUGCCUGCCUCGGCCUCCCAAAGUGCUGGGAUUACAGGCGUGAGCCACCUCGCCCGGCCUAUUGGGCACUGUUAAGUGACAUUUUUGUGAAGAUUCUGUGGGACAUGGAGAAACUUCCUCUUGGGAGCUAGCUUGUGCUAAUCCCCACAGCACAAGUGGGAAUUAAUGUGUGCUCACUGAUUCAUGCUGGUUGAAGUGUUUUUUUUUUUUUUUCUGAAGGCUUUUUUCCUUUGACAUUUUCUAUUUUUCUAACUAAAAGACCGGCUCCGUGAGUUUAAAGGAUUAUAAUCUUUUGCAUUUGUAUUUUUCUGCAUGCAUUGAAGAGCAUUUAAGAAUAUUGCCAAUUAAAAGAAUAUGCAUUUAAUUUAGAAAUAUGAAUUUGAUUAGCUAAUGUUCAUCUUUAACAUUUUCUAAGGCUGAAAUGCUAAUCUCUUUGCUUUCUUAUCAGACUAAUGUUCAGAUCACACUGGCUUGAUAGCUGACUCAUUUUCUCAGUGCAGUGAAGGGUGGCCACCUGCCAAUAAAUGAUGCCUAAUACCACAGUUAAAUGAAAGGCUACCAUUGAAAUGGAAAAUUUGCUGGAGAAAGUUGAUUAAGUAACAUUUCACGGAAGAGGAGAAUUGUAAUAACCAUUUGAUAGAAGAGAGAUGUCCUUGAACUCAAUCUAUCCUGAAGAUGCUCCUGAGAGGGCAAACAAAUAACAUCUCUCUGGAAGGAUGCCUGCCUUUGUCAAAGCUUUCAAAUCUGUAUGACUUCUAUCUUUCCUUGGCUUCCCUUACUCAAUUAGUCAAGGAUCCUUGUGGAUGUUUAACAUAAAAUGUCACUCACAUCUGCCCUCCUCCUCAACUUUCCAUUCCAUCCUCUCCACAGAUGCCUGAUGCAUUUUCUUCUGACUCAGUCUUCUGUUUUUCAUGGAGAACACAGAGCAAGACAGAAGCUCCCAACUGUGGCAUCCAAGAGCAACUUGAGCUGCUCCCUUACUUAUCUCUGGUAAUGAUUUGAAUCCUUUGCUUUUGCCAGACUGACUCAUCUAGUCAUUGCUCCCCAAAUAUUCAUUUCCCCAUUAUUUCUUGUGGCCUAAGCACCAAAUUUUGUUCUUUCAAAAUCUACUCUUCCUUCAGGUCUGGCUCAAACUCUUUGUGAUGACUGUUCUACCAUAUGGCUUAAUAGCUAAGUACACAUGCAUUGACCUCAAGCCUUCCCACAGCUCAGGUUCCUGAGGCACAGACUCUGGAUGGAAAUUAGCACAUAAUAGGUUUAUUAGAAAGUGCUCUUGGAAUUAACAUCUUUGGAGGAAGAAAAGAAGCAAUAUUGUCCAGAGAGGGAAGUUGAACUGCAAUGAAGUUGCCACAGAGGCUUCAAUGAAUCCUUCUGGGUGUAGAGCUGGGAUGACCUUUCCAGAGUUUUCCAAUUAAGGGAAUUGUAUCUCACCUCAAUCUCUAGUCUGAACCUUGGGUGAGGCAGCUUCUUUCAGCCAAUGGCAAUUCCUGGAGGCACCAGGAGUUAUGAGCAGUCAACACUCUUUCUUUGCUCCUGAGAAAAUUGAGUGCCCUCUUUGGUCCUGAAAGCAGCUCUGGGCAGCACUCCACAGCAUCCACUACAGACUUAGUGAGUUCACCCUGGCUCUCCCACUUACAGAUUGCAGGUUGCGGCAUGGGAUUGCAUCAGCCUAUGGGGAAGAAAAAGAAGAAAAUAGACAAUCUGCACAGAAUAUGUAAAAGGAGAACCAAAGCCCAAAGAGAAAAAUGCUGAGAAGUCGCCAGCAAAGAAAGCACAGUAAACAACAGCAGGGGCCGGGCGCAGUGGCUCACGCCUGUAAUCCCAACUACUCAGGAGGCUGAGGCGGGGGAAUCGCUUGAACCCAUUAGGCGGAGAUGGCAGUGAGCCAAGAUAGCACCACUGCACACCACCUCAUGACAGAGCUAGACCCCGUCUCAAAAAACAAAAACAAACAAACAAAAAAACAGCAGGAGGCAGAGGAGUUUUCCAUAAUCGUACACCUUCUACUGAUGUGCUCUCCAUUAGCCAGCCUUGACUUCACCAACAUCACUGCUUCUCCUCCUCAGGGCUGGGUGGAAUGGGGUUAUGGUGGAGAGCUGCAGAAAAGCUUUAGCCACCCCCAGCUGUUAGAGGGUGCAGCACAACUCGCUUUAAUUGCUCAUGUAUUCUACUGGCCCAAGCAGUCUGCAAGGCUGAGAGUGAGUUGAAGAACACUGACUAGGCAAAUGAAGACAAGAAGAAUUUGAAAUGGCGAGGCAAUUGAGGUCCUGAAGAAAUGAAGCACAUGAAGAUGGGGGAGCAGCUCAGAACAUCAGGAGGCAGUAAUGGGAUACUGGGUGCUUGGAGGGGAACGAGAGGUAGUGGCAGUGGAUUUCAUCUGAUCAGCAAUUUUAUUUGACUUAGUGUGACAAAUGGACCAAACAAAGAAACUAUUCUGUUGUUGAUGAUCCCUAUAAUCAUUCCCUAGGAAUAGUGUGAUAUAGUUUGGCUGUGUCCCCACUGAAAUCUCAUCUUGAACUGUAGCUCCCACAAUUCCCACAUGGGAGGUAAUUGAAUAAUGGGGUCAGUUUUCCCCAUACUAUUCUCUUAGUAGUAAAUACGUCUCUUGAGAUCUGAUGGUUUUAUAAGGGGAAACCCCUUUCACUUGGUUCUCAUUCUCUCUUUGCCUGCCACCAUGUAAGAUGUGCCUUUCAUCUUCCACCAUGAUUUUGAGACCUCCCCAGCCACGUGAAACUGAGUCCAUUAAACCUCUUUCCUUUAUAAAUUACCCAGUCUUGGGUAUGUCUUUAUCAGCAACAUUGAAAAUGGACUAAUACAUAGGAAAAUUGAUUUUUAAACUAAAAACUGUUCUUUCAAGACGAGAAUAUUUAUCCUAUACUUCCUGCUGUCUGUAUCUAAAGGUUUGCUUACACAUGUCAUGUUUUGCCCCAAAUGUCCUUACUUCUCUAACCCAGACCAACUUGAACUUUUUCUGUAUAUUUCCUUGUUCAACUGAGGAAACAUACCUCUUGUUGGCUUCUUUCUUACAUGAAAACUGAGCUCCAGUUUCUGACAUCUGGGUUGGCGAUACUUCCGGUUUCUCACUCAUGCACAUCUCUCUGAUCCAGUUUUCUUGGCACUUUUUCUUUCUGACUAGGAAAAAUUUCCUAAGCUGUUCUUGCAGUUACCAUGCCUUCCUAGGUGAUGUACCCUUCGUGAAUGAUUUUCUUUCUACAUGAUAGUAAGCCUUCAGUCUAGACCUGGUUGUUCUACAUUCUGAUCUAAGAUUCAAUAGAAUUCCCUUCUCUUUGUGCCCACCAUUAUCCUACACACCAGAAGAAUUGUCAAUUUCUUUUCAUUAAUACUGGCCAGUUGUGGAUUUUUUCUUUUGUCUGAUAGAGUCAUCAUUCAGAUCAUAACUGAUAUCUCACACAUUUUCUUUGAUACUUGAUAUAGAAAUAAAUUAUCAUAUACACACGCUCACAAAUGGAACCACCCUUACCUUGGGGCACAAUAUCUAUAUAAAUAAGCCACAUUAAUAAACCUCAAUCAAAAUUAUAUACAGUAUCUAUAUCAAUAAGCCAGAAACCUCAACCAAAAUUAUAAAAUUACACUUGUACUACUAGUGCUAAUGUCAUCAUUUGCCAACACAAAAAGUACUUUUGUUGCAAUUAUUUUCUUCUUUCCACCAUUCUAAGUUUGAAUACCUGGGAUUGACUAAAAUUGCAAAACUAGUUCUAUGUUUAAUGUUUUUAUUCAUGAAUAAGUGUCUUGUUUUCUAUCCUUAUUAACUUUUUUUCUUGCUAAUAAUGAAUUUAUUUUAUUUCUUAUACCACAGGGGUUUUCAUAAGUAACUUUCAAUCCUUUUUGGAGCAAAGCAGAAGUUAUUUGGUAAAUUUAUUAAUGUAAAUAUUCUUUUAUUCUCUUUUUUUUCUGUUCCUUCUCCAUUUUUGUAGUUCAACACUUUUCAAAUUAGUCUUAAUUAUUUGAUCUGACCAUUGCCAUAACCUGUAAUUGGAUAAAAAUGUCUAAGUACUGGUCUCGGUUUGACACUUAGAAGCAGUAACCUCAGAAUGUUCCUUAACUCUACUUAAUGAAAAGAGAACUGUCCUUAUAAUGAGGACAAAGGGAUAAAUAAAUAAAAUCAUAAAUAUGAAAAGUCUUAACAUGAUACCUGAAUCAUACUGUAUCCUUAAUAAAUGCUCUUUGAUUCGUGAAUUAUAAAAUAUGAUUUUUUCCAUCCUGACCUAAUAUUUGUCAUACGUUUAGCAAUGACAAUCAUGCCUUACAGUGUAAGAUUCUUGGGAACCUUCUUUCUGGCUUAAACAUUUCACCAGGGUCCCAACUGUGAAGUCAUUAAUCAAAUAGGUAUGCAAAAAAUUUUAGAUGUGGACAAAUCCUUUCCUUCUUGAGUAAAUGAAGCAUUCUAAAUAGCCGUGUCUAUUUUGUCUUUUUAUUAUGCAUUUCAAAGAAGGCAUGAGUGGGUUUUCUCUGGAAUGCCCGGUGAGCCUUCAUUGCUGAAAUUGGGGUGAUACCCAUUUUUCUCCAACCAACUCUGACAAUGCUUAAUGGGAGUGAGAGGAAGUGAUUGGUCUUAAGAGGAAAUGCAAUGAACAAUUUUCUUUCUCUCGGUCAGCUAUGACAGCAUAUAGAAAGAACUUGAGUUUCAAAGGCUGUGACUGCUGCAGGAAACUCUAGAACCUGUGGCGUUCAAGUAGGAUAACUGUCUCCCUCCAAAGCAUUUUGGUAAUCUCCUCCUCGCCCCCACCCCCUCUGAUUUAUGACUGUAUCUUUUGACCUUCUUUCUUUCUUCAUAAAAAGCACUAAGUUGCCAUUUAUAUAGCAGAGGACAGCAGAUAAAUGUUAAAAUUUACUGUAGAUCCUCACUGGGGAAUGGGCUUACAGAUCUCUCAGGCACCAAGUGUCACAAAAGCAUGUGAGUUUUGAUAUCCUUCAGUCAUGUGAGGAGUAAUCAUAAAAGGACAAAGUCCUAAAAAAAAUUAAACUUUCCAUAGACAGAGCAUAGCUGCAUUUUAAGUAACCACUUUAAAGAAAUGACUGCUGUUUUGGCAAAAGCUAGUAAGCCACAGAAAAUUAAUUUCAUGUUUCAUUGACAUUACUUUCAGGAAUUUCAUGUUGACAUAACCUAUAGAAUAAGGGUGAGAUACUGCAGACAAUAUAUUUAAUGCUGCUCUACAAGCAAAAAAUAUUUUAAAUCCAAACAGAGACUCAGCUUUAUGAAAUAAUCAUCUUCUGUGUGACAAUGAAUGAAACUGUAAUUUUCACAUUAAUUGUCUAGAUGCUAAUUGCUUCUAGAGCAAAAGUUUAAAUCAAAUUGUGAGCUCUUUUUAAGGCCUCUGUGUUGAACCUAAGUUACAUUUCAAACUAAUUCUUAUUUUGUCUUCCAUGUAGAUAGCAAUGCUUUUAUAUGAUUGAUAUAUUAAAAAUAUCAACUAAUGUCUGAUUCAAUUGUAUGCUAAGCUAAAAAGAAGGCACCUAUAAACACGUACUUCUAAAUACAUUCAACAAAAUAAUUGCUUUUAUCCAAAUCAAAAUGUUUUCACUUACUCCACAGUUGAGAGAGAGGGAGAUUAUUGGCUUUGACCAGCAAUAUGCAUGUUUGUCUCAUAAAAGCUGUAUGUCCUCAUUCUUUGCGUUCGCAUCUGUCACCAUGAAUCUGUGAUCCACCUGCUGAGAAGACUAUUGAUUGACUGUUGUUUGACCAAGGCUCUCUUUGGGUCUGAGGUAACAAGCCUUGUUUAUAUAAUGCACAGUUUCUGUUUCUACCUCUUGGCUUUGAAAUCUGCUCAAAGUCACAUAUUAGCAACUGGCAGAAAUCUGGCUAGUAUUCCUGCUGUUGUAAAGGCUUCUCAGCUAGUUUCUAUCAUGUAAAGGUAUGAUUCAACACAUCUAUUAAAUGUUCUUCUCAUCCUUCUGGCUUGUCAUUUGUGCUCUUGCCAGUAUACCGUAAAGCUGGGAAUUCACUGAGUCUGGCAGAUUUGAAAAACACUUGGUAAUAUAGAUAUCUCAGGCAUUGGCUAGGUGGUUAGAUCUCUUUGAUUUUAUGACUCCCAGAUUUCAUCAUGACAACCAUUGCUUGAAGUCACAGAAAAACUUUCCUGUUGUGAUUUAGUAUUGCCACGUGUAUUAGACAAUUAUUACCACAAUAAUGUCGCAUAAUAAGCCAUUCCAAACUCAGUAGCUUAAAACAACAAUUACUCUCAUUCACACAUCUGCAGAUUAGGUGGAGGUUGGCUGAUCCAGGUUGGUCUUCACUAAGCAAUGCUCCGUUUUUGUGUUAAAACUGGGUCCACUUUAUAUAUUUCUCAUCUUCUUUGGACUGGUGGACCAGCCAGGACUUAACUCAUGGUAAUAGCAGAAGCAUAAGAGAGGAAAUGAAAACAAACAAUGCUAAUGCCUAUUUGCCAAACUGGCAACUGUCAUUUAUGCACACAUGCCGUUGCCAAAGCAAGAGUCUAAAGUCAAGGACAGAUAAAGUACACUCCACUUCUAGUGGGAAGAACCACAAAGUCUUAAGGCCAAGGGCCGGACACAAUGAGAGAUUAGGUAUUGGAGCCAACAAUCCAAUCUAUCACACUGUCAAAUGUCAAGUAGGGUGAAAAGCAGUCUGUAGCCGUAACUCAAGGAGCUGCUAGUGGUGCGUUGGAGAGGUACAAUUUUGUGGGUAAUGAAGAAGGCCACACAACAUCUUUCCCUUGACUUUUACCUGCACCUUGCUAUCAUGUGAGAGUCUCACCGCUUCUGGGGCAUUACUAAGGGAUUUCACAGUGGAAUUCUGAAUCUUUGUUAAUUAAUGCUAGGUUGCAUAGAAUGCUAAUAGUUACUAUUUGUGGUAACACUAGCCCGAGGUUCACUAAGAUGGAAAAGGAAGAAUUUUACAGAGAUUUGUAAAUUUGUGUAAGGAAAAGACUGAAGCAGAAGUGAUGUUGUGUCAUUUCACACUUAGACUUUAAGAAAACUGGCAGCUUCUGCUCCCUCUUUCUUGAAACCCACCUACCAUUCAAGCAGUCAGGUUACCCUGCUGGAGACACCACAUGAAAAGACAAGGUGGAGCUGGGGAUGUGGGAUAAGGGAGAGGAUACCUGGAGGAUAAUUGAAGAGCCCAGCCAACAGCAGGAUCCUGGACCCCAGACACGUAACACUAGUUGAGUUGUUUUAGUCAACCCCUGUUUGUUCAAACCAUCCCAGGUGAGUUGCCAGAUAUAUGAGUGAAGAGACCAUCUUGCCUUCUUCAGCCCCAGAAGAUAUCAUAUGAAGCAGAGAUGAGUAAUCCCUGCUGUGUUGCUUCUGACUUCCUGAUCUACAGAAUUCUGAAAAAUAAUGAAAUUGUUACUGUUUUAAGCCACUAAGUUUUGGGGUAGUUUUAUAUGCAGCAAUAGAUCAUUGAAACAACUUCUCAUUGGAAUUUCUCUAAAAGAAUUCUUAUUUGGCCUUUAUCAUUUUGCCAUUUUGAGUCAUUGUUUCUAUGGAAUAUGGUACUUUUAUUGCACAGAAUAUUGGUAAAAAUGAUGAAGAGAAGACUUAUUUCUUAUUACUGCAUGAGUUUGGAGAAGAGUUAGUUUAUUCUUUUGCAACUAAAUGUUUUUUUUUAAAGCAUAAAACCUAUAGAUAGAUUAUCUAAAGAAAGGGGUUCAAUAAAUUAAUGUAUUAGCUGAUUUUCUGCCCCCCCCCCCCAAAUUAAACCAGAUGGAAGGAUUACCACCUAUCAGAGGCUCUGGGGGAGAAUCCAUUUCUUGUUUAUUCAAGCUGUUGGCAGAAUUCAGUACCUUGUGAGUAUAGAAACUAGGUCCCAGUUUUCUAGCUGGCUGUAAACUAAGAGCUGUUCCCCACUUUUAAAGGCCAUUUGAAUUCCUUGGCUAUGACUCUCUUCUUUCAUCUUCAAAGCUAGCAAUGACUGGUCAUGUCCCUCUUACACUUCAAGUUGAUCCUUUCUCUACUUCUGUCUCAUUUUCUCACCCUGCCAAGGGUACGUGUGAUUAGACUGGGACCCUUCGUAUAAUCCAAAAUAAUCUCCCUAUUUCAAGGAUGACUAACUAGCAAUCUUUAUUCCAUCUGAAACUUUAAUUUCACUUUGCCAUAUAACACAACAAAGUCCCAUAUUCCAGGAACUAGGACACUGAUGUCUUUGGAAGAUCCAUUACUCUGGCUACCAUAGCAAUAUUCCCACAUUGCUCCAUUCCAAGAAGCUCCUUUAACAUCACAGUCUAUGUAAAUAGUACUCUCAGGAGUUGCACAGUAGGCAGCUUGUACAGUCAUACAUGGCAGCACUUAGAAGCAUAUUAGAACAGAGGUAAGGGUGGUUGCAUGUCUAGGGCUCCAUUUCUGUGUCACCAAUGCUCCCGAUCUCAAACUGGAAGGUCACUACCUUCCUCUCAUUCUGGAGUAGGCCUUCUUUUUCCAACCCCUUUCUCUAUUAACCCAAGAGAAAGAUUUUCUCUUAGACAUAAAGAGAUAAUUGAAGUUCUUAAAAGAAAUGUUUAUAAGAGAAAUAAGAAUUUUUAAAAUUACAGAAAGAACAAGUUUUAGGACAGAUUAUUCAGCAAGGCAAAACUCCUAGGUAUCACUGAUCCUUCAGCUCGUUCUCAGGUCUAGCUUUUCUUCUUAUAGUAUCCUGAAUGGAUUCUAGCUCUACUUACUAAGCUAUGUCUCACUGUCCAGCUGAAUCAGCCUUUCUCAUAUGUCACCAGCUAGCACCUUGUCCAGGAGACAGCUGCCAACUUGCCCUCUUUCUGUUUAUGGUAAUAUUAUUAAUUCUUUUGCAAUCUAAUUUUGAAACCAUGAGAUUGACUUGAGAAAGAUUGACAUAGGGCAAUGUCUCUCAACUUUAUGAUGGAAAACAUUUUUCAAACAUUUCUAAUGUAAAAUGUCUAUUAUUUAAAGACUUCAAAUGAAGCCUUCCUUGUUUAUUCAGUUUCCCCUUCACCUUCCCUUGUAGCUCCUGAAACUCUAUCAUAGAAUCCCAAGGCUUCUUUGAUCAUGGUUUUGAAAACAUUACUAUAAUAGAAAGAACCUUGAAAAAGGAGAGAGAAUACAUUUCUUAAUUAUAUCAACCUUGUGACUUUGAGCAACCCUCUUAACUCUGAGUUUCUUUUCUGAUAUAACUGAGAAUAAUAUCUGAUCAAUUUGUUGGACUGCUUUGAUCAUCAGUCUCAUCUCCCACUGCAAUUCUGCUCCCCAUUUAUACUUUAAUCUUCUAAUGUUGUAGGAUUAUUUGCCCUCCCCUAAUACUCUGCCAAUUUUUAUGACCCUGGGCCAUUGACCACUUUUUCUUCUAUAUCUAGAAUACAUUUUCCUUUUUUCUUUCAGUGAAAUCCCUACUUUUCCAGCAUAAAUGACAGCUUUCUGACCCAAUCAUAAUGAAGAGGGGUGUGUGUGUGUGUGUGUGUGUGUGUGUGUGUGUUUAAUCUGCAUUUGCAUGGCAUUUUGUAUAACAACUUUUUACACCAUGGCUGAGUUUUGAUAAAGAAAUAAUUGUAAAAUUUGUAUCUAUUUUAUCCGGCAUCUAAUAUAAUCCUUAGUAUGAAAUAGAUUCCCAGUAAUUGUUUUUAGAAUGAAUAAAUCAAAAACUUAAAGUUU
This is an RNA transcript of Homo sapiens (human), 35985 nucleotides long. It is a transcript of the gene named lysophospholipase like 1, with no coding region annotated. The record is from RefSeq and is marked validated. Lineage: Eukaryota; Metazoa; Chordata; Mammalia; Primates; Hominidae. The transcript is spliced from 11 exons.